GAGGAAAGUCCGGGCUCCAUAGAGCAGGGUGCCAGGUAACGCCUGGGGGGCGCAAGCCCACGACAAGUGCAGCAGAGAGAAGACCGCCGAUGACCCGCAAGGGCACAGGUAAGGGUGAAAGGGUGCGGUAAGAGCGCACCGUGCGGCUGGCAACAGUCCGUAGCAGGGUAAACUCCACCCGGAGCAAGACCAAAUAGGCUUCCACAUUGCGUUGCUCGCGUAAGGAGGCGGGUAGG
Molecule: unclassified non-coding RNA, 236 nt
Filed under: Vibrio nigripulchritudo SOn1
Lineage: Bacteria; Pseudomonadati; Pseudomonadota; Gammaproteobacteria; Vibrionales; Vibrionaceae
Description: RNaseP_bact_a
Rfam family: Bacterial RNase P class A
About the family: Ribonuclease P (RNase P) is a ubiquitous endoribonuclease, found in archaea, bacteria and eukarya as well as chloroplasts and mitochondria. Its best characterised activity is the generation of mature 5'-ends of tRNAs by cleaving the 5'-leader elements of precursor-tRNAs. Cellular RNase Ps are ribonucleoproteins.
Source: RNAcentral